RNAcentral lists this ribosomal RNA (494 nucleotides) under uncultured Bacteroidota bacterium. Its description in RNAcentral is "bacterial SSU rRNA". It matches the Rfam family "Bacterial small subunit ribosomal RNA", at positions 29 to 507 of the family's 1533-position model. Lineage: Bacteria; Pseudomonadati; Bacteroidota. The record is from RNAcentral.
AUGAACGCUAGCGACAGGCUUAACACAUGCAAGUCGAGGGGCAGCGGGGAUGAAGCUUGCUUCAUCCGCCGGCGACCGGCGCACGGGUGAGUAACACGUAUGCAACCUGCCCCUGGGCUGGGGGAUAAGCCGGAGAAAUCCGGCUAAUACCGCGUAACAUCCUUGCGGGACAUCCCGUUAGGAUCAAAGGAAGCGAUUCCGGCCAGGGAUGGGCAUGCGGCGCAUUAGCUAGUCGGCGGGGUAACGGCCCACCGAGGCGACGAUGCGUAGGGGUUCUGAGAGGAAGGUCCCCCACACUGGUACUGAGACACGGACCAGACUCCUACGGGAGGCAGCAGUGAGGAAUAUUGGUCAAUGGGCGCGAGCCUGAAUCAGCCAAGUCGCGUGAGGGAAGACGGUCCUAUGGAUUGUAAACCUCUUUUGCCGGGGAGCAAGCUGUGCCACGUGUGGCGCAGCUGAGAGUACCCGGAGAAAAAGCAUCGGCUAACUCCGUG